GCGGAUGUGGCGGAACUGGUAGACGCACCAGAUUUAGGUUCUGGCGCCGCAAGGCGUGGGGGUUCGAGUCCCUUCAUCCGCACCA
Molecule: transfer RNA, 85 nt
Filed under: Tropicimonas aquimaris
Lineage: Bacteria; Pseudomonadati; Pseudomonadota; Alphaproteobacteria; Rhodobacterales; Roseobacteraceae
Also listed under: 1 other name
Description: tRNA-Leu
Rfam family: tRNA
About the family: Transfer RNA (tRNA) molecules are approximately 80 nucleotides in length.
Source: RNAcentral